Molecule: ribosomal RNA, 911 nt
Filed under: uncultured Moraxella sp.
Lineage: Bacteria; Pseudomonadati; Pseudomonadota; Gammaproteobacteria; Moraxellales; Moraxellaceae
Description: bacterial SSU rRNA
Rfam family: Bacterial small subunit ribosomal RNA
Source: RNAcentral
GCUUGCUGGUAUGAUUAGUGGCGAACGGGUGAGUAAUGCUUAGGAAUCUGCCUAUUAGUGGGGGACAACAUUCCGAAAGGAAUGCUAAUACCGCAUACGUCCUACGGGAGAAAGCAGGGGAUCGCAAGACCUUGCGCUAAUAGAUGAGCCUAAGUCGGAUUAGCUAGUUGGUGGGGUAAAGGCCUACCAAGGCGACGAUCUGUAGCUGGUCUGAGAGGAUGAUCAGCCACACUGGGACUGAGACACGGCCCAGACUCCUACGGGAGGCAGCAGUGGGGAAUAUUGGACAAUGGGCGAAAGCCUGAUCCAGCCAUGCCGCGUGUGUGAAGAAGGCCUUUUGGUUGUAAAGCACUUUAAGUGGGGAGGAAAAGCUAAUAAUUAAUACCUAUUAGCCCUGACGUUACCCACAGAAUAAGCACCGGCUAACUCUGUGCCAGCAGCCGCGGUAAUACAGAGGGUGCAAGCGUUAAUCGGAAUUACUGGGCGUAAAGCGAGCGUAGGUGGUCAUUUAAGUCAGAUGUGAAAUCCCCGGGCUUAACCUGGGAACUGCAUCUGAUACUGGGUGACUAGAGUAGGUGAGAGGGAAGUAGAAUUCCAGGUGUAGCGGUGAAAUGCGUAGAGAUCUGGAGGAAUACCGAUGGCGAAGGCAGCUUCCUGGCAUCAUACUGACGCUGAGGUUCGAAAGCGUGGGUAGCAAACAGGAUUAGAUACCCUGGUAGUCCACGCCGUAAACGAUGUCUACCAGUCGUUGGGUCUCUUGAAGACUUAGUGACGCAGUUAACGCGAUAAGUAGACCGCCUGGGGAGUACGGCCGCAAGGUUAAAACUCAAAUGAAUUGACGGGGGCCCGCACAAGCGGUGGAGCAUGUGGUUUAAUUCGAUGCAACGCGAAGAACCUUACCUGGUCUUGAC